AGAGAGAGACAUGCGCGCAUAUCAAUAAGCGGAGGAAAAGAAACUAACAAGGAUUCCCUUAGUAACGGCGAGUGAAGCGGGAAGAGCUCAAAUUUGAAAUCUUCAAGGUUUUACCUUGACGAAUUGUAGUUUAAAGAAGUGUUUUCUGCUGAAGUUUUGGUAAAAGUUCUUUGGAAUAGGACAUCAUAGAGGGUGAGAAUCCCGUAUUUGACCAUUAUUUCAGCUUUGUGAUACACUUUCAAAGAGUCGGAUUGUUUGGGAAUGCAGUCCAAAAUGGGUGGUAAAUUUCAUCUAAAGCUAAAUAUUGGCGAGAGACCGAUAGCGAACAAGUACCGUGAGGGAAAGAUGAAAAGAACUUUGAAAAGAGAGUUAAACAGUACGUGAAAUUGUCAAAAGGGAAGCGUUUGACACCAGUGUUGUUUUCUCGAAAAUCAAUUAAAAAUGGCUCGAUUUUGUAUUGCUUGAGACCUUAAAAGCUCACUGUACAUUUUUCGUGUCUUUUUUAAUGCACUUUUCGUUUAACAAGUCAACAUCAGUUUCUUUUGUUGUAAAAGGGUCAUUGGAAGGUGGCUUUCUUUUCGGAGAAAGUGUUUAUAGCCUUUGGCCUCUGCGAUCGAAGAGACUGAGGUCUGCAGCGUAGACUCUUCGGGGUUAGAUACAUUUGUGCUAAGUUAUAGCUUUUUAUAGACAACUUGUUGACUAUAAUUAGUCUUGUAGCUUACUCGCUUAUGCUAUUUUACCUACGCUUAGGAUGUUGAAGUCAUCGUAUCGCGC
Molecule: ribosomal RNA, 774 nt
Filed under: uncultured Neocallimastigales
Lineage: Eukaryota; Fungi; Neocallimastigomycota; Neocallimastigomycetes; Neocallimastigales
Description: partial large subunit ribosomal RNA
Rfam family: Eukaryotic large subunit ribosomal RNA
Source: RNAcentral